This 447-nucleotide ribosomal RNA is filed under the name uncultured bacterium. RNAcentral's name for it is "partial 16S ribosomal RNA". It matches the Rfam family "Bacterial small subunit ribosomal RNA", at positions 331 to 795 of the family's 1533-position model. The record is from RNAcentral.
CCAGACUCCUACGGGAGGCAGCAGUGGGGGAUAUUGCACAAUGGGGGAAACCCUGAUGCAGCGACGCCGCGUGAGUGAAGAAGUAAUUCGUUACGUAAAGCUCUAUCAGCAGGGAAGAAAAUGACGGUACCUGACUAAGAAGCCCCGGCUAACUACGUGCCAGCAGCCGCGGUAAUACGUAUGGAGCAAGCGUUAUCCGGAAUUACUGGGUGUAAAGGGAGCGUAGACGGCCAGGCAAGCCUGGAGUGAAAGCCCGGGGCCCAACCCCGGGACUGCUCUGGGAACUGUCCGGCUGGAGUGCGGGAGGGGCAGGCGGAAUUCCUGGUGUAGCGGUGAAAUGCGUAGAUAUCAGGAGGAACACCGGCGGCGAAGGCGGCCUGCUGGACCGCGACUGACGUUGAGGCUCGAAAGCGUGGGGAGCGAACAGGAUUAGAUACCCUUGUAUAC